ACUAGUACCGUAAGGGAAAGUUGAAAAACAACCCCUGAGUGGGGAGUGAAAAGAGCUGAAAUUGUGGGUUGGUUACAACCAUUUUGGUGUACCUUUUGUAUAAUGGGCCAGCAACUUAGCAAGAGUAGCAAGCGUAAUGCAAAGCACGCGUAGCGAAAGCGAGUCUGAAUAAGGCAUUUAGUUUCUUUUGCUAAACCCGAAACCGGGUGAUCUAGCCGUGAGCAGGCUGAAGGGUUGACUGGAGGGCCGAACCCUAGGAUGUGGCAAAAUCCAGGGAUGACUUGCGGUUAGGGGUGAAAGGCUAAUCAAACUCGGAAAUAGCUGGUUUUCUGCGAAAUCUAUUUAAGUAGAGCGUCGCCAAUUUCAUGGGGGUAGGGCUCUGGACUCUUGAUGGGGGCGCAAGCUUUACUGAGAGUGUUUAAACUUCGAAUACCUAGGCGGCAGACAGGCUGCGGGUGAUAAGAUCCGUGGCCAAAAGGGAAACAGCCCAGAUUGUAGAAUAAGGCUCAUAACAAGUACUAAGACUAAGGCGCUCACUGCAGAGACAACCCAAAUGGUGGGCUUAGAAGCAGCCAUCCACUAAAGAGAUCGUUAAAGAUCAUGGGACUAGUUACUGAUCGCCGAAAAUUUUGAAAUGAGUACUUGGCCGAAGUCGCAGUUAACAGGUAGCAGAAUGCUCAAAAAGGUCUUAGUUUUUUUUAAAAAAAGAGUAAACACCCUUUUUGAGGCAACAAUGCUGGCAUGAGUAACUAGAAAUGCUGCGUAAAACCAGCAUCGCCGAAAACCCCAGGUUUCCUCCGCAAAGGAUAAUCCUCGGAGGGUGAUGCGGUUCCUAAGAUGUGGCUCUAAGGAGCGCUUUCGAUGGAAUGC
This 870-nucleotide ribosomal RNA is filed under the name Chlorarachnion reptans. Its description in RNAcentral is "partial Bacterial large subunit ribosomal RNA". It matches the Rfam family "Bacterial large subunit ribosomal RNA", at positions 494 to 1426 of the family's 2925-position model. The record is from RNAcentral. Lineage: Eukaryota; Cercozoa; Chlorarachniophyceae.